GAUGCCAGCCGAAAGGAAGUGUGGCAAGACCUCAAGGAAUCCAAAAAAGAAAGCAAAGAGUGAGAAUGAAGAGUGGUACUGUGGAAUAUGCGAGGAAGAUAAAAUAGAAGAAAUGAUUAGAUGUAUGAAAUGGAAAAUGUGGUUUCACGCAAAAUGCGCGGGUGUAGGAAAAGGAGCAAAAAAAAUUUCUGCAAUGGUUGCAAAUAGAUCUGGGAAUGGAAUAAAGUGCCUUUCGUAUAACAUAUGGACUGAAAUUGAUUUAUAUAGAACGGCGUAUAUGCUUUAAUUAAUUUACAAAUGUAU
This 303-nucleotide long non-coding RNA is filed under the name Androctonus crassicauda. The record is from RNAcentral. Lineage: Eukaryota; Metazoa; Arthropoda; Arachnida; Scorpiones; Buthidae.